UCCGGCUUAUCACCGGCAGUCCCUCUAGAGUGCCCAACUAAAUGAUGGCAACUAAAGGCGAGGGUUGCGCUCGUUGCGGGACUUAACCCAACAUCUCACGACACGAGCUGACGACAGCCAUGCAGCACCUGUCUCCAGGUUCCCGAAGGCACUCCCGCAUCUCUGCAGGAUUCCUAGGAUGUCAAGACCAGGUAAGGUUCUUCGCGUUGCAUCGAAUUAAACCACAUGCUCCUCCGCUUGUGCGGGCCCCCGUCAAUUCCUUUGAGUUUCAAUCUUGCGACCGUACUUCCCAGGUGGGAUACUUAGUGCGUUAGCUGCGGCACUGGAGGGGUCGAUGCCUCCAACACCUAGUGCUCACCGUUUACGGCUAGGACUAC
This 377-nucleotide unclassified non-coding RNA is filed under the name uncultured bacterium. RNAcentral describes it as "contains 16S-23S intergenic spacer region". The record is from RNAcentral.